This 354-nucleotide RNase P RNA is filed under the name bovine gut metagenome. RNAcentral describes it as "Bacterial RNase P class A". It matches the Rfam family "Bacterial RNase P class A". From Rfam's summary of the family: Ribonuclease P (RNase P) is a ubiquitous endoribonuclease, found in archaea, bacteria and eukarya as well as chloroplasts and mitochondria. Its best characterised activity is the generation of mature 5'-ends of tRNAs by cleaving the 5'-leader elements of precursor-tRNAs. Cellular RNase Ps are ribonucleoproteins. The record is from RNAcentral.
AGCGUCGCUUUGUGAGGAAAGUCCGAGCUUCGCAGGACAGGAUAACGGCUAACGGCCGCCGGGGGUAACCCCAGGGAGAGUGCAACAGAGAUAUACCGCCGUGACCGCUUAAAAUGGGUUUCCCGUUUUUUGACUGUGCUUUUUUUGGCACGGCCGGUUGCGGUAAGGGUGGAAAGGCGAGGUAAAAGCUCACCACGCCCCAUGGUAACAUGGGGGGUCUGUAAACCCUAUCCGAAGCAACACUGAAUAAGGCGAUACGCUUGUCCGGCGUGCCUUGAAAAGUGGCUGGAGCCGUGCAGUAAUGUACGGUCGAGAUAGAUAGUCGUCCCAAUGACAGAACUCGGCUUAUCGUUU